GGGAGGCCCUGCAUAGAUAUGGAAAUUGACAUGGCAUGAAUAGGACUAAGGAAAUAUUGCUGAAAUAACUGAAGAUGAGUUCUUUGCAUCUGACUACAAAGUGCUUCUUGAACAGAAUCUCUUCCAAGGAAAUGAAAUAACUUUUCAAGGAAUUCUGCAGUUAACUGAUCAUUUACAAGGAGACAAUGAAGAGGAAGGAUGGGCAGAGAAGAUCUCCCACUUACUACAAACACACAUGGAAGUAUUGUUUAUCAGAAAUUAAGUUUGGUGUCAGCAGUGGAAUUAACAGAACACAGCAUUCCUGUGCACUCUGAAUGACUUUGCUGUGCCCACUGAUGUGAAUUUACUUUGAGUUUACUCUACCUGGCUUUUCAUCUCCCCUACUGCUCAUGAUGUACAA
Python bivittatus (Burmese python) is the source of this 400-nucleotide long non-coding RNA. RefSeq lists it as uncharacterized. NCBI's taxonomy places the organism in Eukaryota, Metazoa, Chordata, Lepidosauria, Squamata, Pythonidae. The record is from RefSeq and is a predicted model, not a curated record.